UGGCCGGUGGGGGAGGCGGCGCUGCUGCUGCUGCUGCUGCUGAGGUCUGUGUUAUAAUUUCACAAUGUUUGGAAAUUUAUUUGAUGAAGACUUCUCCUUUUUGUCAAACACUCAAUGUGGGAAGCAAAAGUCAAAACACAAAGAUGCUGAGCUGCUUGUUCCUAGAGAAAGCACCAAUUUAAGUGGAAUAAAAAAUCAGGGUGGAACCUGUUACCUUAAUUCACUUCUUCAGACUCUACUAUUCACACCAGAAUUUAGAGAAGCACUGUUUUCUAUAGGCCCUGAAGAACUUGGUUCUUUGGAAGACAACAGUAAGCCUGAAUCAAAGGUAUUCAAUUCUAUACUUCAGUCAGCUCAAAAGUUUAUGAUGUUCACUAUGUUAGCUUGGGCCACUCAUUGACAGCCUAAACUACCUCACAGGAUCAUCAUGAGGAUAAAAUGGGGAGAAGUAUGUAUGCCACCUUGAUCUCUUUGGAGGAAAGGUGGGGUAUAAAUGCAAUAAAUAAGUAAAAUAUUUAUGAAGAUGAUGGAUAAUGUAUUUAUAAUGCAAAGCUGGGGAUGCACACAUUACUUCAUGUGCACGUAUAAUCUACAAAGCAGGGAUUUUCCUAAAUAAGUUCUGGUGCAGUGCUUUCAGAAUACACACAGGUCCUGUUGUGCAAACACUCAUUACACAAACCUUUAAGUUAUUUGCACAUGAAGAAUUUCUACCCUAACAUCACUGCAUGAACAUCUACUUUAGU
This is a long non-coding RNA of Lacerta agilis (Sand lizard), 743 nucleotides long. RefSeq lists it as uncharacterized. The record is from RefSeq and is a predicted model, not a curated record. Lineage: Eukaryota; Metazoa; Chordata; Lepidosauria; Squamata; Lacertidae. The transcript has 3 exons.